GACGAACGCUGGCGGCGUGCUUAACACAUGCAAGUCGAACGGUGAACGAGGGAGCUUGCUCCCUCCGGAUCAGUGGCGAACGGGUGAGUAACACGUGAGCAAUCUGCCCCGAACUCUGGGAUAAGCGUUGGAAACGACGUCUAAUACCGGAUACGAUCCUGGAGGGCAUCCUCUCCGCGUGGAAAGACCUUCGGUUCGGGAUGAGCUCGGGGCCUAUCAGCUUGUUGGUGGGGUAACGGCUCACCAAGGCGACGACGGGUAGCCGGCCUGAGAGGGUGACCGGCCACACUGGGACUGAGACACGGCCCAGACUCCUACGGGAGGCAGCAGUGGGGAAUAUUGCACAAUGGGCGCAAGCCUGAUGCAGCAACGCCGCGUGAGGGACGACGGCCUUCGGGUUGUAAACCUCUUUUAGCAGGGAAGAAGCGAAAGUGACGGUACCUGAAGAAAAAGCACCGGCUAACUACGUG
This 470-nucleotide ribosomal RNA is filed under the name uncultured bacterium. RNAcentral's name for it is "partial 16S ribosomal RNA". It matches the Rfam family "Bacterial small subunit ribosomal RNA", at positions 28 to 507 of the family's 1533-position model. The record is from RNAcentral.